AAAAGUAUUUGAAAAGGAAUAUACAUGUUCACGUGUAUAUAUGUGAAUAUGUAUAUAUAUGUUAUACAUGUUCAGUUAUACACACACACACAUAUGUAUAUGUAAUGGGAUGGCUGUGUUAUACACUUGAAACAAUACUGUGAAUCAACUAUACUUCAAUUAAAAACAAUUAUUUUCUAAAUGUGGGCAAAUAUUGGCUCGUCUAUUCUCAGGACACAGUUAUGUCAAUGGCUUGAUUUUUAUCUUUGGCUUGAUUUGUAUCUAAAUUCUAUGUAGAGUGGACAUUGCUUCCUUGGGCUCAGAGAGAAGCGGACUCAAGACCAGACUGGCCCUCACAUGGAAAGCUUGAGGAAGGUGGUCCCACCCCCACCCCAUCCUGAGGCUCAGGCUCCAGACUGAAAAGCGGGAGGAAAACUGACUUGGGGAUCUUCUCAGCUGUCCUCCAGGGCAGCAGCUGCCUGCACACCAAGCAAGGAAAGCUUCUGACCUCGCUUUUGGCCUCCAUGGAAGAGGAGGUCCUGACCCAUUCAUGUCUGAUCAAUGGGUCAAGAUCAAGGGCAGUGGCCUGUCCUGGUCUAUGGCCCUGUGAAGUCAGAGGCCCAGUGACAUAGCUGGUCCACCGUCAGGACAGUCUAAACAGCCGAGGUUACAUGAACUCCCUGUUCACCAGGCGUUUCUCUCCUAAGUUAAACAAGCUAUGACCAAGCAAGUGGACUCUGUCAACAGUAAGAACCCAUCUGUUACUACUCACCACUUACGGACAGCGACUUGUCCUAGGUAAUGGGGUUGGUGAGUCACAGAGCCAGGGAUAAACACAGGCUGUCCAGCUCAGCAGAAGAUAAACGAUUGAAACUUGGAGCCCUGGUCAAACUAUGUGUCUCUGCUCUGAAGGAACCAGAAUCAGUUUUCCAACCACAUCUCCUUAAAUUCCCAAACGAGGACAUGAAGAAGUGAUUCAGCGAGGGGACACUGUCUGGGAUAUUGACCACUAACUGUAAGCGAGGUCGAGCCAUAUUCCCAACAUUUUGUAUGCAUUACCUCAUCGAACCCUCAUAACUCUUUGAGGCAGCAAAAUUAUAAUCCCAUUGUACAGAUAAAUAAAACCAAUAUAUGGAGAAGUUAAGUAACUUCCCAAGUCACAGAGAGAUUCAAGAGUAUCCAGCCGAGACUCAAAUUGAUCUCGGGUAGCCUUGGCCUGCAGCAGCUUGAAGCAAGCAGAGAUUUUGUUCUUGGCCAGAGACUGAGGUUGGGUCAUGACCGCGAGAGCGCUGAAUCCUAGCCCCUAGACCAAAGGUCAGCAACAAGGCCUUGGCCCUUCAGCUUUGCAGAAAAGAAUUCCCACAAGACAGUAAGUAGUGCAACAAGUAAAGUAUUUAUUAGGAGGAAAAGAGUACAGUACCUGUUGGUAGACACAUGGGCAGACUUAGUGGGAGAGUCACGCCCUCAUGGGUGUUUGAAUCACUUUUAAGGGGCAUUUCUUCCAAGUUUCCUUGACCAAUGAUUUUGAUUUGCCUGUUUCAGAGUCUGUAUUUUGUAUAACUCAGGAUCCUCCUAUAGCUAUGUGUUCAUCUCUCAGCCAAGAUGGAUUCAGGCGAAGAGGCCUAUGGGUAGGUUGACAUCACUCCCUUUUGACCUCCAACGAUACUUUCUGUACAUGUGCAUUUGGCUAGGUCUCCUGACUUUAAGAAUGAGAAAUACGUGGUCUCGUCUAUCUGGGCAGGGCCCAUCCUCCUCUCUAGAGUGUCCUGCUGUUCUCAUCUUAGAGAAUCAGUCCAGAAGGAAUGAAUCUCCAGCUGCUUUCCCUUGAGGGGGCCCAGUUACGUCCAGGAGGCUACCUGCUCCUUUUCUUCAGUUAGUGUUAUCUGGUACUAUCUCCAUGCUGGGGCCAUGAUGCACUCUUGACCCGCAUUAUCUAACGGCAGCCCUAUGAGAUAACACCGUAAGUAUCCCCAUUUUCCAUGUGAGAUUCUGAGGACUCUCAGUUAAAAACCAUGCCCAUAUGCCCACCACUGUCAGUCAGCUUCGAGCAUCCAACCAUUAAAUAUGAGUGAACAGCCAAGGAUCAGCAGGCAUCAGAAAAAGCCUUGUAGUAAGAAAAACAGAAGUCAAAGCAAACUAAGCAAGAAUAAAAAUGUAUAAAAAGGAAGAAAAGAAAGCUUAAAAAAAAAAAACUUUGUGAAUUUCUUCAGAACAAAAUAAGAGAAGAUAUUCUAUCCAUAAAAUAAGAACAAUGUUUUAAAAGAAGUUUUCCUGAGACAAAUGUUGUGUUUAAACUUAAUAUAUAAUAGGAGAAAAAAUGUUAAUUUCUGAAAGGUUUUGAAGUUAAAAUUGAGAAAAUGUCCCAGAAAUUAAAAAGGAAAAAUAAGAGGAAAAAAUCAUAAGAAAUUUAUAGGUGCUGAUUAAGAGUUGAGGAAAAAAGCUGAGAAAAUAAAGAAUAUAACACUAAGGAAAUUAUGCAUAUAAAUUUCCCCAAGUCUCAAAAUGAGUUUCCAAAUUAAGAACCCCAGGAUGCCUGAAAAAUGUGCUGAGACACAUUACCACAGUGUUUCAGAACACUGGAGCUAAGGGUCAAGAACUGGAAUGACUUUAAAGUUGUUAAGAGCAAUACUAGAAGGUAGGAGAAAACAGAACGAAAUGCCUGCAGAGUUUUGAAGGGAAGUUAUUUCUUAUCUAGAUACCUACGCAUAGCUGUUUGUUAAGUAUGAGAGUUCUUCUGGAAGGAGAAAUUUCCUCUGUCCUUCUACGUAUCAAACAAAAGUUUAAUAACAUACACAGGAGAGGGGUUUCUCUGGUGGCUCAGUGGUAAAGAAUCUGCCUGCCAAUGCAGUAGACAUGGGGUUCAAUCCA
Molecule: long non-coding RNA, 2847 nt
Organism: Bubalus bubalis (water buffalo)
Lineage: Eukaryota; Metazoa; Chordata; Mammalia; Artiodactyla; Bovidae
Exons: 3
Source: RefSeq, a predicted model, not a curated record